RNAcentral lists this ribosomal RNA (201 nucleotides) under Oxyrrhis marina. Its description in RNAcentral is "partial Bacterial small subunit ribosomal RNA". It matches the Rfam family "Bacterial small subunit ribosomal RNA", at positions 36 to 226 of the family's 1533-position model. The record is from RNAcentral. Lineage: Eukaryota; Dinophyceae; Oxyrrhinales; Oxyrrhinaceae.
CUGGCGGCGUGCCUAACACAUGCAAGACGAACGCGGUUAUCCCGCAAGGGGUAACUGAGUGGCGAACGGGUGAGUAACACGUGGGUGACCUACCUUCGAGUGGGGGAUAACGUCCCGAAAGGGACGCUAAUACCGCAUAACAUCCUGCCUUUGAACAGGCGGUGAUCAAAGCCGGGGACGCAAGGCCUGGCGCUUGAUGAG